This 309-nucleotide unclassified non-coding RNA is filed under the name plant metagenome. RNAcentral describes it as "partial contains 5.8S ribosomal RNA, internal transcribed spacer 2, and large subunit ribosomal RNA". The stretch from base 1 to 105 matches the Rfam family "5.8S ribosomal RNA", at positions 50 to 154 of the family's 154-position model. The record is from RNAcentral.
GAAAUGCGAUAAGUAGUGUGAAUUGCAGAAUUCAGUGAAUCAUCGAAUCUUUGAACGCACAUUGCGCCCCUUGGUAUUCCAUGGGGCAUGCCUGUUCGAGCGUCAUUUGUACCCUCAAGCUCUGCUUGGUGUUGGGUGUUUGUCCCGUCUCCGCGCGUGGACUCGCCCCAAAGUGAUUGGCAGCCGGCGUACUGGUCCCGGAGCGCAGCACAUGUCGCGCAAACGAGUGCCUUGGUACGGCGGCGUCCAUAAGCCCCUCUCUCACGCUCUUGACCUCGGAUCAGGUAGCGAUACCCGCUGAACUUAAGC